Molecule: ribosomal RNA, 301 nt
Filed under: uncultured bacterium
Lineage: Bacteria
Description: partial 16S ribosomal RNA
Rfam family: Bacterial small subunit ribosomal RNA
Source: RNAcentral
CAGUAGCCGCGGUAAUACGAAGGGGGCUAGCGUUGCUCGGAAUGACUGGGCGUAAAGGGCGCGUAGGCGGAUUGUUUAGUUAGGCGUGGAAUUCCUGGGCUUAACCUGGGGACUGCGCUUAAUACAGGCAGUCUAGAGUGAGGAAGAGGGUUGUGGAAUUCCCAGUGUAGAGGUGAAAUUCGUAGAUAUUGGGAAGAACACCGGUGGCGAAGGCGGCAACCUGGUCCUUGACUGACGCUGAGGCGCGAAAGCGUGGGGAGCAAACAGGAUUAGAUACCCCAGUAGUCCCUGUCUCUUAUAC